Phyllostomus hastatus (greater spear-nosed bat) is the source of this 107-nucleotide small nuclear RNA. The record is from RefSeq and is a predicted model, not a curated record. NCBI's taxonomy places the organism in Eukaryota, Metazoa, Chordata, Mammalia, Chiroptera, Phyllostomidae.
GUGUUUGCUUUGGCAGCACAAAUACUAAAACUGGAACGAUACAGAGAAGAUAAGCAUGACCCCUGCGCAAGAAUGAUACCCAAAUUCAUGAAGUGUUCCAUAUUUUU